Molecule: ribosomal RNA, 253 nt
Filed under: uncultured bacterium
Lineage: Bacteria
Description: partial 16S ribosomal RNA
Rfam family: Bacterial small subunit ribosomal RNA
Source: RNAcentral
UACAGAGGCCCCAAGCGUUACUGAGAGUCACUGGGUUUAAAGGGUGCGUAGGUGGCGCGUUAAGUCCGUUGUGAAAUCCCUUGGCUCAACCAAGGAACUGCUUCGGAUACUGGCGUGCUUGAGGCUAGUAGGGGUCACUGGAACUGACGGUGGAGCGGUGAAAUGCGUAGAUAUCGUCAGGAACGCCGAUGGUGAAGACAGGUGACUGGGCUAGUUCUGACACUGAGGCACGAAAGCGUGGGGAGCGAACGGG